AACGAACGCUAGCGGCGUGGAUUAGGCAUGCAAGUCGAACGAGAAAGUUCCCUUCGGGGAACCGGUAAAGUGGCGAACGGGUGAGUAAUGCAUAAAUGACCUGCCCAGAUGACGGGAUAACUUCUCGAAAGGGAAGCUAAUACCCGAUGUUGUUCACGGAUCACGGUCCAUGAACCAAAGGUGGCCUCUGUUUCAAGCUGCCGCUUUUGGAGGGUUUAUGUGCUAUUAGCUAGUUGGUGGGGUAACGGCUCACCAAGGCUUUGAUGGCUAGCCGACCUGAGAGGGUGACCGGCCACAUUGGGACUGAGACACUGCCCAGACUCCUACGGGAGGCUGCAGUCGAGGAUCUUCCUCUAAUGUGCGAAAGCAUGAAGGAGCGACGCCGCGUGAGGGAUGAAGGCCUGG
Molecule: ribosomal RNA, 405 nt
Filed under: uncultured bacterium
Lineage: Bacteria
Description: bacterial SSU rRNA
Rfam family: Bacterial small subunit ribosomal RNA
Source: RNAcentral